Molecule: ribosomal RNA, 254 nt
Filed under: uncultured bacterium
Lineage: Bacteria
Description: partial 16S ribosomal RNA
Rfam family: Bacterial small subunit ribosomal RNA
Source: RNAcentral
UACGUAGGGCGCAAGCGUUGUCCGGAAUUAUUGGGCGUAAAGAGCUCGUAGGCGGUUUGUCGCGUCUGCUGUGAAAACCUAAGGCUCAACCUUGGGCUUGCAGUGGGUACGGGCAGACUAGAGUGCGGUAGGGGUGACUGGAAUUCCUGGUGUAGCGGUGGAAUGCGCAGAUAUCAGGAGGAACACCGAUGGCGAAGGCAGAUCUCUGGGCCGUAACUGACGCUGAGGAGCGAAAGCAUGGGGGAGCGAACAGG